RNAcentral lists this unclassified non-coding RNA (226 nucleotides) under Hevea brasiliensis (rubber tree). Lineage: Eukaryota; Viridiplantae; Streptophyta; Magnoliopsida; Malpighiales; Euphorbiaceae. The record is from RNAcentral.
AGAGCAACUCUCUCCAAGGCUGAGGAUCAACCAACUAUGAUACUAUUGAUGCAGAUUUAAUAGAAUAAGAAAGGGAAGAGAAGAAAGAACACUCAGAGAGAAGAAGAGAAGAAUUUAGAGAGGAUAAGUUUAUCAUUCAAUCAACACACAUAUUACAGAAGGUUCAUUCCCUUAUAUAGGGAAUACAAUCAGCUCUGCUCUAUCUAACUGUUUAACAACUCUAUAA